UUUCCGUAGGUGAACCUGCGGAAGGAUCAUUAUCGUACAAAAUGUGAGGGGCAUGCGAGGGCUGUCGCUGACCCAAAAGUCGUGCACGCCCGAGUGUGUCCUCUUGCAUAAUAAUCCAUCUCACCCUUUGUGCAUCACCGCGUGGGCACCCUUCGGGAUCAUCUCGGAGGGGGGCUCGUGUUUUCACACAAACCCCCCUUUUAAAAGUGUAGAAUGGCCACAUUUAUGCAAUCAAUACAACUUUCAACAACGGAUCUCUUGGCUCUC
RNAcentral lists this unclassified non-coding RNA (267 nucleotides) under plant metagenome. RNAcentral's name for it is "partial contains small subunit ribosomal RNA, internal transcribed spacer 1, and 5.8S ribosomal RNA". The record is from RNAcentral.